This 412-nucleotide ribosomal RNA is filed under the name uncultured bacterium. RNAcentral's name for it is "bacterial SSU rRNA". It matches the Rfam family "Bacterial small subunit ribosomal RNA", at positions 355 to 786 of the family's 1533-position model. The record is from RNAcentral.
UGGGGAAUAUUGGGCAAUGGGCGCAAGCCUGACCCAGCAACGCCGCGUGAAGGAAGAAGGCUUUCGGGUUGUAAACUUCUUUGACAGGGGAAGAUAAUGACGGUACCCUGAAAACAAGCUCCGGCUAACUACGUGCCAGCAGCCGCGGUGAUACGUAGGGAGCAAGCGUUAUCCGGAAUUACUGGGUGUAAAGGGCGCGUAGGCGGGUCUGCAAGUCAGAUGUGAAAUGCCGGGCUAACCUCGGAGCUGCAUUUGAAACUGUAGGUCUUGAGUGAUGGAGAGGCAGGCGGAAUUCCCGGUGUAGCGGUGGAAUGCGUAGAUAUCGGGAGGAACACCAGUGGCGAAGGCGGCCUGCUGGACAUUAACUGACGCUGAGGCGCGAAAGCGUGGGGAGCAAACAGGAUUAGAUACC